This 748-nucleotide ribosomal RNA is filed under the name uncultured bacterium. RNAcentral's name for it is "bacterial SSU rRNA". It matches the Rfam family "Bacterial small subunit ribosomal RNA", at positions 37 to 767 of the family's 1533-position model. The record is from RNAcentral.
UGGCGGCAUGCCUAAUACAUGCAAGUCGAGCGAACAGAUGAAGUGCUUGCACUUCUGACGUUAGCGGCGAACGGGUGAGUAACACGUAAGGAAUCUACCUAUAAGCGGGGGAUAACAUUCGGAAACGGGUGCUAAUACCGCAUAAUAUCUUCUUCCGCAUGGAAGAAGAUUGAAAGACGGCUCUGCUGUCACUUAUAGAUGACCUUGCGGUGCAUUAGUUAGUUGGUGGGGUAACGGCCUACCAAGACGAUGAUGCAUAGCCGACCUGAGAGGGUGAUCGGCCACAUUGGGACUGAGACACGGCCCAAACUCCUACGGGAGGCAGCAGUAGGGAAUCUUCCGCAAUGGGCGAAAGCCUGACGGAGCAAUGCCGCGUGAGUGAAGAAGGCCUUCGGGUCGUAAAACUCUGUUAUAAGAGAAGAACAAAUUGUAGAGUAACUGCUACAGUCUUGACGGUAUCUUAUCAGAAAGCCACGGCUAACUACGUGCCAGCAGCCGCGGUAAUACGUAGGUGGCAAGCGUUGUCCGGAUUUAUUGGGCGUAAAGGGAGCGCAGGUGGUUUCUUAAGUCUGAUGUGAAAGCCCACGGCUUAACCGUGGAGGGUCAUUGGAAACUGGGAAACUUGAGUACAGGAGAGGAAUGUGGAACUCCAUGUGUAGCGGUGGAAUGCGUAGAUAUAUGGAAGAACACCAGUGGCGAAGGCGACAUUCUGGUCUGUUACUGACACUGAGGCUCGAAAGCGUGGGGA